RNAcentral lists this ribosomal RNA (1473 nucleotides) under Triticum aestivum (bread wheat). RNAcentral describes it as "partial small subunit ribosomal RNA". Lineage: Eukaryota; Viridiplantae; Streptophyta; Magnoliopsida; Poales; Poaceae. The record is from RNAcentral.
AUGGAGUCGUCUGCGGCGAGGAGGCAGCCCAGCACGAGCAGCAGCAGCAUGAGCAGCCAGCAGGUCUCGGGCUUCAGCAAUUACAGCAGGGCGGCCUCCGACGGGUAUCCAUACCCUUCUGGCUCCCCGGACACAUACCGGCACCGGCGGCAGGCGUCGUCGUACAGCGCCCCGUUUUCUUCCCAGCUGAGCCGGAGCUCAACCCGCAGCAGCAGCAGCUCGUUCAAGGCGGCGGCGCGGGGCGUCGCCGGCGUGUUCGGCACCUGCUUCGUGCCCCGGGUCAGGAAGGCCCAGUCAGAGCAAGAACCGGAGGUCUCUCAGGUCUCUCGUGGGAGCAGGAGUGGAGGGUACUCUCAGGGGAGCAGGAGUGCGGGCUUCCAUGUCUCCACGGAUUCAGGGACAGGCAAAGGCAAGGAGGGUGCAGGGCUCACCGUUGCAGACAUAUUCAGGGCGACAUCGAACUUCAGCAAGAAGAACAUGGUCAGGGAGGGAGCUUCUUGCAGCGUCUUUAAAGGGAAGCUCAGGGACGGCUCCCAGGUUGCCGUCAAACGUGCCAGAAAGGUCUGGGGAAACAACAUCAUACUAAUAUUUGGCAACUGUCAGGAGCAACUAAUAUGUCUGAAUAUUUUGUUGCUGCAGUUAAACUGUCAGUAUCUAUCUGCUGAACUUAGCAGGGAGCUCGAGACGCUUCAGAAGAUCGAGCACCAGAAUUUGGUGAGGUUCCUCGGGUUCUUCGAGCAGAGAGAUGAAACUCUGGUCGUCGUCGAGUAUGUCGACAAUGGCUCCCUAAGGGAACACUUGGAUGAGUCGCGCGGAACCGGGCUAGAACUUGCGCAGCGGCUCAACAUCGCGAUCGACGUUGCUCACGCCGUCACCUACCUGCACGAAUACGCAGAACGGGCGGUGAUCCACCGGGACAUCCGGUCGUCGAACGUGCUGCUGACGGGCGCGCUGGCGGCGAAGGUGGCCGGGUUCGGGCUGGCUCGGGUGGCGGGCGACGGCGAGGCGACGCACGUGACGACGCAGGUGGUGGGCACGGCCGGGUACGUGGACCCGGAGUACCUGGGCACGCUCCAGCUCACGGACAAGAGCGACGUCUACUCCUUCGGCGUGCUCCUCGUGGAGCUCGUCACCGGCCGCCCGCCCAUCGAGCGCCGCCGCGGCCUCGAGCCCCGCGCCACCACCAAGUGGGCGCUGCAGAAGUUCCGGGGAGGCGACGCGGUGGUGGCCAUGGACCCGAGGGUGCGGCGGAGCCCGGCCUCGGUGGCCGCGGUGGAGGGGAUGCUCCGGCUGGCCGAGCAGUGCGUCAUGCCGGCGAGGCAGGACCGGCCGUCCAUGCGCCGGUGCAACGAGGCGCUGUGGACCGUUCGAAGGGACUUCCACCGGAGGCAGGAGCCGCGGCAGGACGGGACUGCCGGCGCCGCCGCCGCCGCCGCCGCCGGGGACAGGGGCUCCGAGUGGGUUAGCCGAUGA